GUUCUUGUUUAGACAGCACAUAUACUAAAAUUGGAAUGAUACAGAGAAGAUUAGCAUGACCCUGCACAAGGAUGAAGAGUAGGUUUUAAAUUUU
Small nuclear RNA from Homo sapiens (human), 94 nucleotides. The record is from Ensembl. NCBI's taxonomy places the organism in Eukaryota, Metazoa, Chordata, Mammalia, Primates, Hominidae.